AACGCACAUUGCACCCUCUGGUAUUCCAGAGGGUAUGCCUGUUUGAGUGUCAUUAAUAUAUCAACUCUAGCAAAUUUAUUUUUUGCUUGAGGUUGGAUGCUGAAGAUUGCUGGCUUUGGUUGGCUUCUUUUAAAUGCAUUAGCAGAUCUCUGUAGAAUUGGCUUCAGUUUGAUAAUUGAUUUUAUCUCUGCUGUUGUUGAGGAUCGCUGGAUCAGCUUUCUAAUUGUCCUUGAAAGGACUGUCUCAUUCAUGAGGCAUAUAUUUGACUCUGACCUCAAAUCAGGUAGGACUACCCGCUGAACUUAA
RNAcentral lists this unclassified non-coding RNA (306 nucleotides) under uncultured Clavaria. RNAcentral describes it as "sequence contains ITS2". The stretch from base 1 to 52 matches the Rfam family "5.8S ribosomal RNA", at positions 103 to 154 of the family's 154-position model. The record is from RNAcentral. Lineage: Eukaryota; Fungi; Basidiomycota; Agaricomycetes; Agaricales; Clavariaceae.